RNAcentral lists this ribosomal RNA (356 nucleotides) under uncultured bacterium. RNAcentral's name for it is "bacterial SSU rRNA". It matches the Rfam family "Bacterial small subunit ribosomal RNA", at positions 917 to 1271 of the family's 1533-position model. The record is from RNAcentral.
GGGCCCGCACAAGCAGUGGAGCAUGUGGUUUAAUUCGAUGCAACGCGAAGAACCUUACCAGGGUUUGACAUCCUGCGAAUCUCUUGGAAACAGGAGAGUGCCUUCGGGAACGCAGUGACAGGUGGUGCAUGGCUGUCGUCAGCUCGUGUCGUGAGAUGUUGGGUUAAGUCCCGCAACGAGCGCAACCCACGUCUUUAGUUGCCAGCAUUUAGUUGGGGCACUCUAGAGAGACCGCCGGUGAUAAACCCGGAGGAAGGUGUGGAUGACGUCAAGUCAUCAUGCCCCUUACAUCCUGGGCUACACACGUACUACAAUGGCUAGGACAGACGGCCGCAAACCCCGCGAGGGGGAGCCAA